This 433-nucleotide ribosomal RNA is filed under the name uncultured bacterium. Its description in RNAcentral is "partial 16S ribosomal RNA". It matches the Rfam family "Bacterial small subunit ribosomal RNA", at positions 29 to 507 of the family's 1533-position model. The record is from RNAcentral.
AACGAACGCUGGCGGCAUGCCUAACACAUGCAAGUCGAACGACACCUUCGGGACUGGUGGCGCACGGGUGCGUCACGUGUGGGAACCUGCCCUUAGGCUCGGAAUAACUCCCCGAAAGGGGUGCUAAUACCGGGUAAUGUCUUCGGGCCAAAGAUAUAUCGCCCUUGGAUGGGCCCGCGUUGGUUUAGCUAGUUGGUAGGGUAAAAGCCUACCACGGCGACGAUCCAUAGCUGGUCUGUGAGGAUGAGCAGCCACACUGGGACGGAGACACGGCCCAGACUCCUACGGGAGGCAGCAGUGGGGAAUAUUGGACAAUGGGCGGAGGCCUGAUCCAGCAAUGCCGCGUGAGUGAUGAAGGCCUUAGAGUUGUAAAGCUCUUUUACCCGGGAUGAUAAUGACAGUACCGGGAGAAUAAGCUCCGGCUAACUCCGUG